Molecule: long non-coding RNA, 2624 nt
Organism: Felis catus (domestic cat)
Lineage: Eukaryota; Metazoa; Chordata; Mammalia; Carnivora; Felidae
Exons: 2
Source: RefSeq, a predicted model, not a curated record
CAUCUGGAGCAGAUUCUCCCAGCCCCUGAGCAGCUGCGUGACAGAAAAAGUAUUGACAGGGCUUGCUUUAAUAAUAGCGUCGAAGUUUUUGUAGGAGAUGCUCCGUGUGAGAUUUGACAAGACCCUGUAGACCGAGGAAUUAAAAUCUCUUCUCUCUUGAUAAAGAAGUCACUCCUUUCCUGCUUUGCUCUCCCCUCUGAUUCUCCUCACCUUGUUGGAAGUGGCCCAGUUUGUUGGUCUUCUUGAUUGUACGUACAUAUUGAACUGUUGGACUUUAGAGUAAAGUUGGAAAUAGAUUCCAGUGUUCUUUUCUGCGAUCAAGAUAAAUAAACUAAGUGAAAGGAAACUAACAUUUUUGGAGUCAGCUACAUGCCAGGCACCAAGCUGUAUAUUCUGCAUACCAUGUUAGGUAUUCUUCAUUUGUUCUCUCCCCUUCAAUCCUCAGAAUCAAAUGCCUCUAGGGACUAGGCAGGCAAAUGAAUGAAGCAAGUAGGGUAUAAUUUUCUCAUUUCAUAUGUAACUAUAUUCACAGAAGUACAGUUUAUUUUAUUCUCAAAAAGAACCUCUGUUGAAAUUUAAGCCCUAUUUUUUAGUUAAUUUUUAGCAGGCAUUUUUGCCCAACACCCAGAUCUUCCUAUAGGCCACUUCAGAAUAGCACAUUAAAUUGCCUUCUUUUGACAUGGCCACACUUUGAACAUUAAACAUUUAGAAAUGUUCUCUCCUCUUCCACAAAGAACACUGCUCACUUGUAAUUUCACAUAACCCUCAUGAUCUGUAUUUAAUUUCCCCACUUUUGUUAUUUUUGUUAGGAAUAUGCAUACACAGAUAUUUCACUUUCCUCUUGAUUAUAAGAAAAUGACUACAACAAUGAUGUCAAGUGGCAACUUACAUUCAGCUGUAUUGUUGGGGCUUAUUAAAGGAAAUGUCUUCUAGAGGAAAUGGUGAGGACAUUGGGGAAAAUGGGUGCAAGAUGGGGAGGCAUCACCCAGCUCUAGACAAUUAUUGCUGUUUAGGAAUUCAAGCCCAGCAUUGCCAGAUCAUCUUUUUAUUUUUUUUAACAUUCAUUUUUGAGAGAGAGAGAGCAUGAAAAGGGGAGGGGCAGAGAGAGAGAGAGGGAGACACAGAAUCCAAAGUAGGCUCCAGGUUCCAGCUGUCAGCACAGAGCCCGAUGCAGGGCUCCAACCCACGAACCAUGAGAUCAUGACCUGGGCUGAAGUCAGAUGCUUAAUCAACUGGGCCACCCAGUUGACCCUCUUCUCAUUCUUAAGACGAGUCAGGAAUACAGAUUUUGUGUAUGUGUAAAAUUUCCCAAAUUUAAAAAUAAUGUGACCAAUUCCCCAUACAAAAAGCACACCAUACAGAAUCACAUGCAGGUGGCCAGAAUUUUCCUCCAUCUGGUGACUCAAGGAACCAGGAUCCCUUUAUCUUAUGAUGCUGCCAACUCAGUAUAUGGUUUCCAAGGCCCCACUGCAGGGGAAGGAAGAGAUAAAGGUGCACACCAGCUCUUAGGUGCCUUGGCCAGGAAGUAACAUACAGCAUUUCAUUUCACAAGCCAUUGAUGAGGUGGGGUUGCUUGAUUCCAAAGAAGGCAGGGAAAUGAAAAGGAGAAGUCGGAUAUUUGAUGACUACUAACUGCUCCUAUCGUAGCAAUUAGUUUAAAACAAACAAGCAGACAAAUCAGCCAGAUUUCUGGGCAGAUCAAACAAAAUAUAAGCACGGUCAAGAUUCAAUCUAGGAGCUGACAUACUAGAGUCAUUUUACACCUAGAAACAACUAGGGCUCAAAGAGGUAGAGGGUCCUGUCCAAGCUGUAUGGCUAAUGAAUAGCAGAACUCAUAUUAUUUUCCACACCAUUCUACUACUGGGUAUUUUUUUUUUAUUGAUUUUCUAGUAUAGAUGGGUAUCCAUGCUUCCUAAAUAUCCCUUAAAAUUAGCCUAUGUCUGAUAUUAAGUAAAAUUUCACAAUUAACGAGAACUUUGUGAACUCUAAUUAAUAUUUGAUUUAUAGACUUUGGUGUAGUCCAGUGUCUCAAACCUGAGUGAGCAUGAGAAUCAGCUAGAGAGCAUGCAUGUUCAGACGCAGAUCACGGAGCCCUUCCUCAGAGUUUCUGAUUCAGUGGGUAGGAGUGAGGGAUAGAUAAGAAUUUACAUUUCUAACUAGUUUUCAUGUGAUGUUGUCCUGCCCGUUUGGGGGAAGCACUUUAAGAACCACUGGACUAGAAUUGGGUUCUAAGUUCUAGAAUCAGCCCAGACAGCAAAUUAAUCACCUUGAGAGGAUCACUUGGCUACUGAGUUUCCACUGUGUCAUCAGUACUAUAAGCAUUUUGGAUCAGUUCUGCCAUUUUAUGAGUCCAUGGUUAGGAAAUAUCUUAAAAACAAACAAACCAACAAACAGUGAAAUGCCUGGGGUUGGUUGAGGGAGUGCAUAUUGAUUAGGAAGGAGCAAGAGGAAGAUCCUGGGAAUGUUCUAGUUCUUGAUCUAGAUGGUAGUUAUGUGUGUGUACCUAGGUAAAAAUUCAUUAAGUUGUAAAUUUAAGUUUAAUGUACAUUAUACAUACAUAUGCAUUCUUGAUCAAAAAGAUCAAGAAUAUUCUUGCCAAAAAUAAAAAAUUUAAAAUAUUUUUA